GAAGUUUUUGUUAGGUUUUCAUGAAACCCUAGAAGUGGUUACUAAUGGCAUUCCCUUGUUAGGUUUUGAUGCAGGCUCAGGCUUGGAAGAAACCUGGUGGUUCUAACAAAUUCAAGGGCAAAAGAGACAAGAAUCAGAGCAAGAAGUCUUGGUAAAAUCCUCAAAAGCAUAUGGUCGAUGAUAAGGCUUAUGAAUCCUCGAAAAGAGGAGAAGGAAACUCCUAUUA
RNAcentral lists this long non-coding RNA (226 nucleotides) under Lathyrus oleraceus (garden pea). Its description in RNAcentral is "Pisum sativum (pea) long non-coding RNA (PSAT_LNC012998)". Lineage: Eukaryota; Viridiplantae; Streptophyta; Magnoliopsida; Fabales; Fabaceae. The record is from RNAcentral.